This 549-nucleotide ribosomal RNA is filed under the name uncultured bacterium. Its description in RNAcentral is "bacterial SSU rRNA". It matches the Rfam family "Bacterial small subunit ribosomal RNA", at positions 356 to 896 of the family's 1533-position model. The record is from RNAcentral.
AGGGAAUCUUCCGUAAUGGACGCAAGUCUGACGGAGCAACGCCGCGUGAGUGAAGAAGGUUUUCGGAUCGUAAAACUCUGUUGUUAGAGAAGAACAAGUGCUAGAGUAACUGUUAGCGCCUUGACGGUAUCUAACCAGAAAGCCACGGCUAACUACGUGCCAGCAGCCGCGGUAAUACGUAGGUGGCAAGCGUUGUCCGGAUUUAUUGGGCGUAAAGCGAGCGCAGGCGGUUCCUUAAGUCUGAUGUGAAAGCCCCCGGCUCAACCGGGGAGGGUCAUUGGAAACUGGGGAACUUGAGUGCAGAAGAGGAGAGUGGAAUCCCAUGUGUAGCGGUGAAAUGCGUAGAUAUAUGGAGGAACACCAGUGGCGAAGGCGACUCUCUGGUCUGUAACUGACGCUGAGGCUCGAAAGCGUGGGUAGCAAACAGGAUUAGAUACCCUGGUAGUCCACGCCGUAAACGAUGAGUGCUAAGUGUUGGAGGGUUUCCGCCCUUCAGUGCUGCAGUUAACGCAUUAAGCACUCCGCCUGGGGAGUACGACCGCAAGGUUG